AUGAGAAAAACCACUACUUCACUUGUUCUAGUUCUCCUUCUUGUGGCAAUACUUUUGAAUGGUGAUAGUGUUGAGGGUGAAGGAAGAGGGAGUCCACCAAAGAAAGAUGAUGGUAAUUUCAAAUCUCAAAAGUCUUGGAAGUGUAUAGAUUGUAUGAUUUUGCAUGGAAUGUGCUUGAAAACUCCUUACCUUUGGCCUGUGCAUAAUAAGUUUUGUUCUUCUAUCGGUCGCACAAAUGUGGCACCUAAAGGCAGGGUUGCUCCUAAACUUGAGAGUGAUAUCCAUGAUUAG
Molecule: non-coding RNA, 291 nt
Organism: Vicia faba (fava bean)
Lineage: Eukaryota; Viridiplantae; Streptophyta; Magnoliopsida; Fabales; Fabaceae
Source: the annotation of a GenBank genome assembly